UAGGGAAUCUUCAGCAAUGGGCGAAAGCCUGACGGAGCAACGCCGCGUGAGUGAUGAAGGUCUUCGGAUCGUAAAACUCUGUUAUUAGGGAAGAACAAAUGUGUAAGUAACUAUGCACGUCUUGACGGUACCUAAUCAGAAAGCCACGGCUAACUACGUGCCAGCAGCCGCGGUAAUACGUAGGUGGCAAGCGUUAUCCGGAAUUAUUGGGCGUAAAGCGCGCGUAGGCGGUUUUUUAAGUCUGAUGUGAAAGCCCCCGGCUCAACCGUGGAGGGCCAUUGGAAACUGGAAAACUUGAGUGCAGAAGAGGAAAGUGGAAUUCCAUGUGUAGCGGUGAAAUGCGCAGAGAUAUGGAGGAACACCAGUGGCGAAGGCGACUUUCUGGUCUGUAACUGACGCUGAUGUGCGAAAGCGUGGGGAUCAAACAGG
RNAcentral lists this ribosomal RNA (429 nucleotides) under Actinomycetes bacterium. RNAcentral describes it as "Actinobacteria bacterium partial 16S ribosomal RNA". It matches the Rfam family "Bacterial small subunit ribosomal RNA", at positions 355 to 776 of the family's 1533-position model. Lineage: Bacteria; Bacillati; Actinomycetota; Actinomycetes. The record is from RNAcentral.